AGAAGGCUUGGCUCCAUAAGUAUUGGUGGAAUGGCCAACGGAGUGAAUGAACAUCUCUUCCUGUAGCUCCCUAAGGACACAUUGCCAGCUGCCUUCAUCCUCAAAAAUGCCGAAAAAGAAGUGUGUACUUUUACAGAUGAGGAGGCUGAGGAAGUAACAGGCCUGGGAUUUGAACCUGGGUCCAAUUACUGUAUAGCCUGACCUCUCUCCAUAACAAUGUAGUGAAGACCACGAUGGGGUCUCCUCUGUACCUGAUGCCUAGAGGAGUGACAGCCGUCUUGUGACAGGGAGGACAAAGCCCAGGAGGCAGCCUGCACAUCGCCCUCCUCCUUUUCCUGCACAUCCGCUGUACAGCUUGGCUCUGAUGAUUUUUACCUCCACUUUCUCCGAGCCCAGUGUCCUUCGGUUCAAGCCCCAGCAUCUCCUGCCUCAACAACUGGCCCCUCCCCUCCCCUGCUGCCUGCCAAUCCAUUAUCCUUAUGAUAGACCAUCUUAUUUGGGAUCUCCUAAAAGCCUGAGGACCUUUGUACAUGCUGAUCCUGCUGCCUGGUCCUUCGAUGUCACCUACAUAAUGCCUAUCCAUCUUCAGAUCUCUAGGCAGCCUGAUACCAUCUCCCAGGCCGGGUCUUCAGAGCCCCAGGGGAUGGUGAAGCCACAAAGUGAAACCCAGAUGCCUGAGUCAGUGUGUGGAAGGAAGGCCACGUGACAAACCAUCCACAUUGGACUAUUUUACAAUCAAGAAAGAAGCAUCCAUUUCAUUGUGUAUUACAGCAGUUAGAUUACUUUGAUUAAUAUACUAUUUUCACACACAUUUUACAGGUGACAGAAAAGAGGCUCAGAGAGAGGUGAAGUGACUUGCCCAGGGUUGCACAGCCAGAUGUGGCAGAGCUGGGAUUCUGACUUCAGAACAUAUACAAAAUGUAACUGACACUGCUUUCCACAGGUCUUUAAUAAAUAUUUGUUGAAUGAAUGCAGUGAGUAAUCUUGAUUCCCUAGCCUUUAUGUUAAGAACCUAGGGAAAAAGUAGCUCAAAAAUAAAUCACAGGGUGACAAAAAAAUAAAAUCAAAAUGCAUGAGUCUCCUCCACUAUAUUGUAAGUUUCUGGAAGACAUAGGCUUUACUGUACUCAUUUUAAAAUCUUUUACAGCAUCUAGCACAGUGCUUGGUAUGUUAUAAGGACUCAAACAUGGCUGUUCAAUUGAAUCAUGACAGACAGCAGAAACUGGGUGUUCCCCAACGUUUUCAGAUGGUGGAGAAAUAGUUUGAAAUCAUUGUCUUUCUUGCAGAAUACCAUGAAACAGUGACAAAUUAAUUUUCAAAUGGGUAAAUAUAUAAUUUUGUGCUAAAAGCAGAUACCAUCUUGUAGUAGGCUCUUCUAAAAAGUGAAAGCGGCUGCUAAAGUUGGGGGAAAUGACUGGGAAUAAUUACAAAUGAAGACAAGUAUACCUAUGAACCCUUCCCUCCAUGAAUUGGCCCACAGCUACCAGGCCCCUACAACUGGAUUUUAGAACAGCUGGGCCCAGUUCACAAAAGUGUUCCACAGAAUCACAUUUUGAAACCUGUAGAUGAGGUAGUUGGAGUAGAAGGGACCAAUUAAUUGAUGGACAAGUUUCUGUUUUUAUAUUUGCUAGUUAGUGGCUGCCUCCUCAGAGCAAGCCACCAGGAUUCUACGCAGGCAUUUUUGUAUUAGCUUCAUUCCUAUCUCUGUCUUAUUCCCUUCUCUACGUUUUUCUUUUCCUUUCACCUUCUUUUAAUUUAUGCUACCUUGCUAUGUUUUAUGUAUCUGAUGUAAGCCACCUCGAAUCCUUUCUGGAAUAAUGUGGAGGUAUAAAUAAAAACAUACAACAUAAAUAUAA
Long non-coding RNA from Myotis brandtii (Brandt's bat), 1856 nucleotides. RefSeq lists it as uncharacterized. Lineage: Eukaryota; Metazoa; Chordata; Mammalia; Chiroptera; Vespertilionidae. The record is from RefSeq and is a predicted model, not a curated record. The transcript is spliced from 5 exons.